AUUUUUUUUAGGAGAAUCAUAUUUUACUCUUUAUUUGGGCUACACUAGCGAAAGCCGCUGUGUUACGUUUCCUUUCCAGUUUGCAUUAUGUCACAGAGUCAGGUGCUAGGUGUUUUCAUCAUCACCAGCCAUAGGACUGCUUAAAGAACACUGAUUGUACUGCGAUUGUAUAUCUCUCUCACAUACAUACAUAAUAUAUAUGAAAACAUUUCAGGAUAACAACACCAACAAAGUGCUAUUACCACGGGCCAUUGGGCAGAGCAUAGAGAUAUUUUCAUUGGACUAAAUUUUGGGUUUCAGUGGCAUUCGUAAUAAUAGUAUUUGUCUUGUAAUAAUAAUGUACAACCCCCCAUGGCGUAACAGAAAGUCACAUUUCCCUUUGUAGGAACUGAAUUGAAAAGACAAAUGUGAGGCUCCGGAACUUCCAGAAAACCAAACGCUGCCUGUGUGCAUGUCAGUCACCCAAGAAAGUCAGUUCUUGAUGAGAAAUCAGACCAGUACGGCUGGAGCAGAUGACCAAAAAAGAGUCGUAGAAGGGAAGUGAGAGAGGUGACGGGAGCCAGAUCACGUGGGGCACUGUAGGUCAUCGCUGGAGCUGAGAAGUCUCUGAAGGGCUUUGAGCAAAAGGAGCAUGAGGAGCCGUAGUCAUUUCCAGCAGUUCUCCAGUUCUCAGACCCUAACCAUCCGGAGUUACUGCAGACUCCACAGUUAAGGGCUCAGUCUCACCAGCCGACCCCAACUUCAGAUGCCAGCAGCAAGUCCGCAUCACCCAUACUUCUGACUCGCCAGCUCUCAAUCAGUUGGAUCAUUCUUCAAAAUGACUUAUAGUACUCAGGAAAACACUUUACUUCCUAUUACCAAUUUAUGGUAAAGGGUACAACACGGAAAUAGCUACGUGGAAGAGAUACACAGGAUGAGUUAUUAGGGGUCGGGGCACAGAGUUUCCCCAGGCUCUCUGGAUGUACCACCCUCCCAGCACUUUCAUGUGCUCACCCACUCAGGAGCUCUCCGAACCCUAUGGUUUAGGCUUUUUAUGGAGAUUUCAUUACACAGGCAUGACUGAUUAAAUCACUGGCUAUUGUUGAUUGAACUCAAUCUCUAGCCCUCUCCAUUCCCCAGAGGCCAGAGGGCGGGGCUGAAAGUCCCAAUCCUGUAAUCAUGGCUUGUCUCUCUGGUGAUGGGUCCCUAUUCUGGAGCUCUCAAGGAGGCCACAGGCAAGAGUCAUCUCAUUAGCCAUCUCACUCUUACCGCUCAC
This 1255-nucleotide long non-coding RNA is filed under the name Equus caballus (horse). Its description in RNAcentral is "lncRNA (ENSECAG00000041967.2)". Lineage: Eukaryota; Metazoa; Chordata; Mammalia; Perissodactyla; Equidae. The record is from RNAcentral.